AGAGUUUGAUCAUGGCUCAGAUUGAACGCUGGCGGCAGGCCUAACACAUGCAAGUCGAGCGGUAGCACAGAGAGCUUGCUCUCGGGUGACGAGCGGCGGACGGGUGAGUAAUGUCUGGGAAACUGCCUGAUGGAGGGGGAUAACUACUGGAAACGGUAGCUAAUACCGCAUAAUGUCGCAAGACCAAAGUGGGGGACCUUCGGGCCUCAUGCCAUCAGAUGUGCCCAGAUGGGAUUAGCUAGUAGGUGGGGUAACGGCUCACCUAGGCGACGAUCCCUAGCUGGUCUGAGAGGAUGACCAGCCACACUGGAACUGAGACACGGUCCAGACUCCUACGGGAGGCAGCAGUGGGGAAUAUUGCACAAUGGGCGCAAGCCUGAUGCAGCCAUGCCGCGUGUGUGAAGAAGGCCUUCGGGUUGUAAAGCACUUUCAGCGGGGAGGAAGGCGNGAAGCACCGGCUAACUCCGUGCCAGCAGCCGCGGUAAUACGGAGGGUGCAAGCGUUAAUCGGAAUUACUGGGCGUAAAGCGCACGCAGGCGGUCUGUCAAGUCGGAUGUGAAAUCCCCGGGCUCAACCUGGGAACUGCAUUCGAAACUGGCAGGCUAGAGUCUUGUAGAGGGGGGUAGAAUUCCAGGUGUAGCGGUGAAAUGCGUAGAGAUCUGGAGGAAUACCGGUGGCGAAGGCGGCCCCCUGGACAAAGACUGACGCUCAGGUGCGAAAGCGUGGGGAGCAAACAGGAUUAGAUACCCUGGUAGUCCACGCCGUAAACGAUGUCGAUUUGGAGGUUGUGCCCUUGAGGCGUGGCUUCCGGAGCUAACGCGUUAAAUCGACCGCCUGGGGAGUACGGCCGCAAGGUUAAAACUCAAAUGAAUUGACGGGGGCCCGCACAAGCGGUGGAGCAUGUGGUUUAAUUCGAUGCAACGCGAAGAACCUUACCUGGUCUUGACAUCCACAGAACUUUCCAGAGAUGGAUUGGUGCCUUCGGGAACUGUGAGACAGGUGCUGCAUGGCUGUCGUCAGCUCGUGUUGUGAAAUGUUGGGUUAAGUCCCGCAACGAGCGCAACCCUUAUCCUUUGUUGCCAGCGGUNCGGCCGGGAACUCAAAGGAGACUGCCAGUGAUAAACUGGAGGAAGGUGGGGAUGACGUCAAGUCAUCAUGGCCCUUACGACCAGGGCUACACACGUGCUACAAUGGCAUAUACAAAGAGAAGCGACCUCGCGAGAGCAAGCGGACCUCAUAAAGUAUGUCGUAGUCCGGAUUGGAGUCUGCAACUCGACUCCAUGAAGUCGGAAUCGCUAGUAAUCGUAGAUCAGAAUGCUACGGUGAAUACGUUCCCGGGCCUUGUACACACCGCCCGUCACACCAUGGGAGUGGGUUGCAAAAGAAGUAGGUAGCUUAACCUUCGGGAGGGCGCUUACCACUUUGUGAUUCAUGACUGGGGUGAAGUCGUAACAAGGUAACCGUAGGGGAACCUGCGGUUG
RNAcentral lists this ribosomal RNA (1481 nucleotides) under Klebsiella pneumoniae. Its description in RNAcentral is "bacterial SSU rRNA". It matches the Rfam family "Bacterial small subunit ribosomal RNA". The record is from RNAcentral. Lineage: Bacteria; Pseudomonadati; Pseudomonadota; Gammaproteobacteria; Enterobacterales; Enterobacteriaceae.